UGUUGCCUCUCUGGGAUUUAUUUGGUCGAUGGUUGUUGCCAUCAUUCCGUAUGACAUCAUCUUCAACUGGACAAGCUUGUAUUUCUAUUGAUUGAGCAACAAGACCAUCUAGAGCGGGGUCGGCUGUGUCUUCCAACGGAACUAGAUCGACGAAGUACGGCUGCAAUUCUUUUGCAGCAGUUGCUCGCAGCAUUGCCCACAAGUGCAACUA
RNAcentral lists this long non-coding RNA (211 nucleotides) under Olea europaea subsp. europaea. Lineage: Eukaryota; Viridiplantae; Streptophyta; Magnoliopsida; Lamiales; Oleaceae. The record is from RNAcentral.